UACGUAGGGUGCAGGCGUUAAUCGGAAUUACUGGGCGUAAAGCGUGCGCAGGCGGCUCCUUAAGUCAGAUGUGAAAGCCCCGGGCUUAACCUGGGAACUGCGUUUGAAACUGGGGAGCUAGAGUGUAGAAGAGGGGGGUGGAAUUCCAGGUGUAGCAGUGAAAUGCGUAGAUAUCAUUUGGAACGCCAAUGGUGAAAACAGGUAGCUGGGGCUGUGCUGACACUGAGACACGAAAGCCAGGGGAGCAAACGGG
This 253-nucleotide ribosomal RNA is filed under the name uncultured bacterium. RNAcentral's name for it is "partial 16S ribosomal RNA". It matches the Rfam family "Bacterial small subunit ribosomal RNA", at positions 524 to 776 of the family's 1533-position model. The record is from RNAcentral.